This 660-nucleotide ribosomal RNA is filed under the name uncultured bacterium. RNAcentral describes it as "bacterial SSU rRNA". It matches the Rfam family "Bacterial small subunit ribosomal RNA", at positions 94 to 788 of the family's 1533-position model. The record is from RNAcentral.
AGUGGCGGACGGGUGAGUAACGCGUGAGAAUCUGCCUUGGGGUCGGGGACAACCACUGGAAACGGUGGCUAAUACCGGAUAAGCCGAUUGGUGAAAGAUUCAUUGCCCGAAGAGGAGCUCGCGUCUGAUUAGCUAGUUGGUGAGGUAAGAGCUCACCAAGGCAGCGAUCAGUAGCUGGUCUGAGAGGACGAUCAGCCACACUGGGACUGAGACACGGCCCAGACUCCUACGGGAGGCAGCAGUGGGGAAUUUUCCGCAAUGGGCGAAAGCCUGACGGAGCAAGACCGCGUGAGGGAGGAAGGCUCUUGGGUUGUAAACCUCUUUUCUCAGGGAAGAAGCUCUGACGGUACCUGAGGAAUCAGCCUCGGCUAACUCCGUGCCAGCAGCCGCGGUAAUACGGAGGAGGCAAGCGUUAUCCGGAAUUAUUGGGCGUAAAGCGUCCGCAGGUGGCGAUUCAAGUCUGCUGUCAAAGCACGGGGCUUAACUCCGUAAAGGCAGUGGAAACUGAAUAGCUAGAGUGCCGUAGGGGUAGAGGGAAUUCCCGGUGUAGCGGUGAAAUGCGUAGAGAUCGGGAAGAACAUCGGUGGCGAAAGCGCUCUACUGGACGGCAACUGACACUCAGGGACGAAAGCUAGGGGAGCGAAUGGGAUUAGAUACCCC